Pyronema omphalodes is the source of this 84-nucleotide non-coding RNA. The record is from the annotation of a GenBank genome assembly. Lineage: Eukaryota; Fungi; Ascomycota; Pezizomycetes; Pezizales; Pyronemataceae.
GGCCGCAUGGCCCAAUGGCAAGGCGCUUGACUACGAUUCGUAAUUGAAAUCAAGAGAUUGCAGGUUCGAUCCCUGCUGUGGUCA